CACGCAGUCAGCUUCUGAUGGCAGAUCUGACUUGAUCUCCUUCUUCGAUCACCUCGAAUAUUUUCGAUGUCGAAGAUGGAUUAGAGAAGGAUGCUGAAUGGUGGAGAAAAUUUGGAUGAAAACUCUCUUCUCUUUGAUUUUUUCCUCACCCAAAAAUCUAGAACAGUUCUAGGUCUCUCACCCAAGAGGAGAACGGUCUCCUCUUUUGUUCACGCC
This 216-nucleotide long non-coding RNA is filed under the name Elaeis guineensis (African oil palm). RNAcentral's name for it is "long non-coding RNA (EGUI_LNC037566)". Lineage: Eukaryota; Viridiplantae; Streptophyta; Magnoliopsida; Arecales; Arecaceae. The record is from RNAcentral.